Sorex araneus (European shrew) is the source of this 197-nucleotide small nuclear RNA. RefSeq annotates it as U2 spliceosomal RNA. NCBI's taxonomy places the organism in Eukaryota, Metazoa, Chordata, Mammalia, Eulipotyphla, Soricidae. The transcript has a single exon. The record is from RefSeq and is a predicted model, not a curated record.
AUCGCUUCUCAGCCUUUUGGCUAAGAUCAAGUGUAGUAUGAGAAAGACUAAAACAGCAGUUAGUGUUAAGCCGUGGUGGGACUUGACAUGAAUGACUUCAUUUUUACUCUGUGGUGUCUUUUUUUUUCUUUUUUGAUUUUGGCGUUACACCAGGUGGUGCCCAGGGCUUACUCCUAGCUCUGUGCUCAGGAAUCACU